RNAcentral lists this ribosomal RNA (731 nucleotides) under Micrococcus sp. 'Mali 29'. RNAcentral describes it as "partial 16S ribosomal RNA". It matches the Rfam family "Bacterial small subunit ribosomal RNA", at positions 1 to 735 of the family's 1533-position model. The record is from RNAcentral. Lineage: Bacteria; Bacillati; Actinomycetota; Actinomycetes; Micrococcales; Micrococcaceae.
CCGAAUUCGUCGACAACAGAGUUUGAUCCUGGCUCAGGAUGAACGCUGGCGGCGUGCUUAACACAUGCAAGUCGAACGAUGAAGCCCAGCUUGCUGGGUGGAUUAGUGGCGAACGGGUGAGUAACACGUGAGUAACCUACCCUUGACUCUGGGAUAAGCCUGGGAAACUGGGUCUAAUACCGGAUAGGAACGUCCACCGCAUGGUGGUUGUUGGAAAGAUUUAUCGGUCAUGGAUGGACUCGCGGCCUAUCAGCUUGCUGGUGAGGUAAUGGCUCACCAAGGCGACGACGGGUAGCCGGCCUGAGAGGGUGACCGGCCACACUGGGACUGAGACACGGCCCAGACUCCUACGGGAGGCAGCAGUGGGGAAUAUUGCACAAUGGGCGAAAGCCUGAUGCAGCGACGCCGCGUGAGGGAUGACGGCCUUCGGGUUGUAAACCUCUUCCAGUAGGGAAGAAGCGAAAGUGACGGUACCUGCAGAAGAAGCACCGGCUAACUACGUGCCAGCAGCCGCGGUAAUACGUAGGGUGCGAGCGUUAUCCGGAAUUAUUGGGCGUAAAGAGCUCGUAGGCGGUUUGUCGCGUCUGUCGUGAAAGUCCGGGGCUUAACCCCGGAUCUGCGGUGGGUACGGGCAGACUAGAGUGCAGUAGGGGAGACUGGAAUUCCUGGUGUAGCGGUGGAAUGCGCAGAUAUCAGGAGGAACACCGAUGGCGAAGGCAGGUCUCUGGGCU